This 477-nucleotide ribosomal RNA is filed under the name Staphylococcus aureus. RNAcentral describes it as "bacterial SSU rRNA". It matches the Rfam family "Bacterial small subunit ribosomal RNA", at positions 396 to 864 of the family's 1533-position model. Lineage: Bacteria; Bacillati; Bacillota; Bacilli; Caryophanales; Staphylococcaceae. The record is from RNAcentral.
GCCGCGUGAGUGAUGAAGGUCUUCGGAUCGUAAAACUCUGUUAUUAGGGAAGAACAUAUGUGUAAGUAACUGUGCACAUCUUGACGGUACCUAAUCAGAAAGCCACGGCUAACUACGUGCCAGCAGCCGCGGUAAUACGUAGGUGGCAAGCGUUAUCCGGAAUUAUUGGGCGUAAAGCGCGCGUAGGCGGUUUUUUAAGUCUGAUGUGAAAGCCCACGGCUCAACCGUGGAGGGUCAUUGGAAACUGGAAAACUUGAGUGCAGAAGAGGAAAGUGGAAUUCCAUGUGUAGCGGUGAAAUGCGCAGAGAUAUGGAGGAACACCAGUGGCGAAGGCGACUUUCUGGUCUGUAACUGACGCUGAUGUGCGAAAGCGUGGGGAUCAAACAGGAUUAGAUACCCUGGUAGUCCACGCCGUAAACGAUGAGUGCUAAGUGUUAGGGGGUUUCCGCCCCUUAGUGCUGCAGCUAACGCAUUAAG